UGAUAAGGUAUAUCACUUACACAGUAUUUGCUGUACUAUAUAGUACAUGCUGCAAGCUGUAUGUAACAUAGUGCUACAUACAGUACAAGUUGAUGUACUCUGUGCUUAUAAAUAAAUUUGUAUAUUUGCAUAUAGUAACAUCCAUAUAGAAAUAGCAUAUUAUAUUAUCCUAUGUUAACCAUUACAGGCAUAUACAUCUUCUGUAUAUACCUAUGUGCCUCAUUCAGCUUCUUUCAAUACCUCUUUUCAGAGCACCCUCUGUAGGAAAGGUGAUCUUAAUUGACUUACUGUUGCUGUGUGCUUCAUUGCAUUGGUGUUUUCUAGUCCAAGGCAGAGGCAGAUCAUAAACUAGCUGCAGUUGUAACAGUGUGGGAUUCUGGCCUGCAGUCUGCACAAGUUCACACACAGGCUGUUAAGUGCCUGUCACCUGCUUAAAGACACAAAAAUUGCCAUGAGCCCUCAGACUAGAAGUUGAUAUAUGAAUUAAUUUUUUAUUCUGACUUUUAUUGCAGUGAUAUCAUGUUUUUCAGUGAAUACACUCCUCUGUGAGUGUCUGUAGAAUGAAGGCACUGAAAUAAUUUGGUUCUCAGUUGCAGAUUGAAAAAAACCCUGUUGUCAUUCUGCAUCUUUCCAGUCUUGGUGCACCUUUGCUGUAGGAAGCCCAUUACUCAAAGUAAAAAUAUCCAUACCUACCUCUAAGGCUCACGGUGACACAGAACACAGCACGUUGUAACUACAGGAACAGACUCAACUGUGAAAGAUCUCUAUCAGGCAUCACAGAGAAUUUGAAGCAGCUGGCAGUUAUCAGCUGAAGCAGUUAGUCAGUAGAACUGUACAAGAUAAAUAGAUAAUUGCAAAGCCAUCUGGAAACCUAAGAGAGAUAAUAAGCCUCUCUUCUGGAAGGGGGGUAACAACUCAGGUAGGUCACUGAUGAACUCAACUCCCAGAUCAGUGCUAAUAUCACUUAAAAUACAGUGGUGAUUCAUGCCUGUCAGCUCUGAGGUAAUAUUCAAGUUGUUGUUGGAAAUGCAGUUUGGCACGUUCAGUUAUACAAAUCAUGAUUGCAACAGAGUGAAGAAGGAUUGUACUGCUGAAAGACGAGUGACCAAUAUCCCAGGAGCAACAUGGCCCUUUGUUAAAUUACAGUUGCCAAAUAGAAAACUAGUAACAUUCCCUUUUUACCUUCCAUGCUACUUUGUUUAUAUUGCCAUGUAACCAGUAGUAUUCCUGCCACAUUGACCACGGUUGUCUGUAGGGUGAGUUCUUUUUUGUGUAAUUUAUUUUUGUAUUCAAAUAACAGAACUAUUCUGGUUUCUCUACCAUGAGCACAGAGAAGGGAGGGAAAAGGCCAAUGUCUAUAAGUAAAAGAAUGUGUUGAUCUAAGUAGCUUCAUUUUAAAAGAGUCCUAAAAUCAUCUUCCUGUUCAAGUCAAUCUCAUGAUUCUCAAAUUUCUGACUACAGAAAGUGUGAAAUCUUGCAUGAACAUGCAAGGAAACUGAUACCGUUUGGUAACUCUUCUUGCUGGGUUCUGAUCUCUCGUAGAUCUAUAUUGGUUGUAGGGAGAUAGCAUGAGAUAUUUUUGUGAGAGUGGGUACAGAAAAGAAGUUUCUGGCCUUUUUCAAAAAAGGAAGUGGCAUCUUUCCACCAGAGAAGUGCUUGAAUUUAUCCACUGACAUCUGUAUACUUUGUUAAACCACUCAGUUGGACCACAGGAAUAACUGAUGCCAGUGUAAUAUUAAUUCUUGUGAAGCUGAACAAAACAGAAAAAAAACCAUAAAAAAAACAACAAAACAAAAACCAAUAAAUACUUUGCUGCUCAAUUUACUUUGAAAGAUGCUUUUAAAAAUCUGUCUACAAGAAUUCUGUCUAAAAAUUCUCUGCAUUUACACUGAAAGAACAUAAAGAAAAACACAUGUAUCAAAUAUUUUUAAGAGUAUUAAUUGCUACAGUUAUAGUACUAACUAGGCAAGCAACAUAUUACAUUCACAAAAUCCAUUAAGAAAAUUUGCAUGUGUUCAUGUUGCUGGUUGCAGAAAUAAUGUGAGUCAUUUGAACAGUCUCUGUAAAUCUUAAAAAGUAACUGCUGUUUUUAUUUUUUAUGUAUUGUUUUAAUAUUUGUUUUACUAAGAUACUGGACAUGAAUUAGUUGUGUGCCUCUGUAAAUUCUGCUUUUAAGUAGUGACUGUUGAGUAUGUCUUUCCUUUGAUAUCUCAUUCUAUGACUGCCAGAACAAAAAGAGGCAAAGUUUUAAAGCUUAGAAAUGCACCAAAAGUCUUAAAUUACCAUUUGCUAUUUUGAAGCCUGAUUCAUCUUUCCAUUAUAGUCCUGGUGAUAGAAUUCAGGUGAGUCUAGAUCCAUUUUUUAUAUCAGUUUCUCGGUUUAGAUGCAAUUGUACAAUUAUAAAUUACCAUUGUGUUAUAAGAUAUGCCUAACUUCAUUAGACUACAAAAUUUCUUAGGUAGCAGGAGAAUUUUAUUUCUGACUUAUGUAUUUUUAUUUGUUUUUAAAAGAAGAUGAAAUGAAGUAGCCAAAAAGAUUGCUUUCUAAAUAAAAUUCCAGAGUCUGCCUAAAUAUUCUAUAAGAAUCCAGUAUAUCAAUAAUUAUAAUUUAAAAAGAUGUUGACAACAUGCUGUUGUAAACAGUGCAAAUAAUACUUAGAAUAAUAUACCCAGCCAGAAGUGAAAAAGCAUCACUCCCAGGGAAACAUCCUUAUAAUUAGGAUAGACACAAAUCUAUUUUACUUUUUCCUCUCCCUUAUGAAUCCUUUGAGUAUUUCAGUCUUUUUCUGUGCUGUGAUCCAGAUUCAACAGGAAAAGUGGAGAAUAAAUAGUUCAGCUCAGGCUCAUGCGAUAUAACUCUCUGAGAUUUAGGUACUGCUACAAGAGGUCUGAACAGAGGAAGUACUUAGACACUCUUUGUGGUCAAGUUCACUAAUUGUGCGUGAAGGGAGACAUCCUUCAUUAUCUUUUGUGUUCUAUGUGUGUGGUUCUAAAGUGAAGUGUGAGGAAGGAAAAGUCAACUUUCUAUUUGGGGAAGGUCUCAGACUGCUAAUCCAAACCCCAAAAAUUUUCCCCAAAAAUUAUGUAGCAUGGCAAUGUGUUUGCAGGUGUUCACAUGUCCUCUUACUUUUUGGUGACUUUCUUAUACUUUAACAAUUAGGCCUGAUGGAGCUUCUGCGGGUGCCCCAGGAUCACACUAUUCUGUUUUGUUUAUUCCACAAAAUUAGUAAUAAUAAUUUCUUUUUUAAAGUUUCCAUUUUAUUGUCAGUCAUUGUCUCAUUAUCAGUAAUGUCUUUGGGGACACCGGUCUGAUACUGAAGUGGUAUUCAAAUAUCUACUUCUUGUCAAAUAACUUGAAUUCUGUAGAAAUUUAUUGUGGUCUAGGGUGAGACUUAGGUGGGGAUUGAGACAUCUAAGGAAUCUAUAUGGAAGGGCUCAGGCAUAAACUAUGUGUGUAACCUCUUGCUCUAGACAACAGAGUCAAUAUGUGGACCCUUCUCCGUGCCUUGUCUGCUGAUGAACUGCUUUGCAUAUGUUUCAGAGGGAGCUGAGUUGCUCUCUAAGCUCCACCUGAACACAGAGAAAAAUUAUGGCAUUGUGUGAAAUGUACGGUCAGUUUCUGUCUUGCAGCUCUCCACAGGAUGAAAUUCCCAGAAACUGGAAAAACACUAUACUGUUAUCACUAAGUUCCUGAAAAAAUAGUGAAAAGAACUUUCUUGAGUUUCUCCCAAAGACGAAUCAGGAUUCCGUAAAAUUGUUGGAUCUUUGCUUGUCAUUUGCUGUCACUCAUGGACAUCAUACAACAGUACUUGAAGCUAUUGGCCAGAUGGUGUGAACCCCCAUAAAGCUCUGCAGGAACAGGAGUGUUUUACUCAUUGACAAGCCCAAAGCUACGGCUAAUGAACCCAGGCCAGCAAUGCAGCUACCACAGAUCUGCCCUCAGCUGGCAGCUGAUACGUGAUAUUCAUGGAGAAGAUAUUUUUCCGAUGUGUGCAACAUCUAUUUGCUGAUUGUGUUCAGACUUGGCACAGUGCUUUUGUCAUGCAUUUCUGUCAUUAUCCUGAACAAAAGAGGUGAAGAUAGAGUGGCUUAAAAAGUAAAGAAAAAACCAUCCAGACAAACAGCUCACCCUCCAAAAAAAAUCUCAAACCAAAACAAAAGUUUGGAUGGAGAAAAUCCCUCUCUAUUAUUUGGGGUAAUUUAUUGGUCUUUGUCUGAGUAUUUCAUUUAGAUUGUGGUAUGGUAAUUAUUUUUAUUGUGAAUUAACUCAGAGGGGCUCAGAUUAGCAAAUGAGUGCUUUUCUAAAUCUUACUAAGAAAGAUCAAUAAGUGAUUCUAAAAUUACUUGUGACAGAUCUCAGCAAUAACAGAGGAAUAUAGUUUUCAAUUCACUUGUGUACUUCGGUGCAUUUAUGUAAAUGAGACUGAUUAUAUGUUAUGGCUGUGCAAAGAAUUGAUUUUUUAAUUUAGCUUCUGAAUUAAGCAAUAGAAAUAAUUUUUGUUCUGCGAAACCAGUGGUUUGUGGUUGGGUUUGGUUUUUUUUCACUUUAAGUUCCAGAAUGAUUAAAAUAAAAUCACUUAGUUUGAGACUAAAGUGUUUUGUGGCCUGUAUAAACAAUUUUCCUUAAGCACAGGUAAGAAAAGGCAAAGAAGGAGUUGGACCAGGUCCAGACAAAGCUGCUGGAGAAAGCCGAAUCUUUCUUUCUGUUUGAGUAUUAUAACAUCCAUCUGCACUAUGCAGCUUAGGUUUAGUUUUCAGGUCAUCUUAUGGGAAUUAAAUCUUAAACUUCUCUAAUCCUAAAUGCUGAGCUUUGAAUGGUUUUGAAAAGAGGACAAUUCUAGCACAAUUAAGAGAAACCUCAUUUUCUCUUUUCUCUGCAUUAUUGUCAGAAUAUCUGUAGCCUCAGGAGAAAUUAAUAAUUUAAACUAUGAAAUAAACUGUCUCAGAUUCCUACCCUCAAUGAGAAAGAGAACACAAUUGAGUUCAUGUAAGUACCAAUAACAGGUUGGAUGUGGAGCUUGUGAAGGCUGGGAAAUUUGUGGAUAAGAUAUCCACAUGUUGGGGAUACUCUAUUAUAUAUGAGACAUCAUCACUGGCUCAGAGAGAGCAAUAGCUUGAUAAUAUGGGGUUCAGAAAACUUUUCAAGAACCACUGGAUUUGAAAGCACUAAUAAAAUACAGCAGAGUUGAAACUAAACAUGCUCUCCCAUUUCUUCUCUGUACCCUGGAGUUAGGAUGCUAACCUAGGAUCUGUGAGAAACCUGGGAAUUUAUUCAUUGGACUGCCAUAUUUUGCAUGAAUCUCAGGAGCACUAGAUUAAACAGGCCUAAUGAUAGUCCUAUAUUUGCAUGUAUGUAACAAAAAUUUGAAAAUUCUGGUAAUGAGCACAUUUGGCUUGCACUCAUAUCAUUUUGAAGUGACUGAAAAGACUUUUGUGGAAGAAUUUAUACUUUGUCAAAUUAUCAUCAACAUCAUCAUCAUCAUCUCUACUCAUGUCUCCUCAUCUGUCACCAGCCUUAGUUGCAGUCCUUCAAUGGAUGAAGAUGGAGCAGAAAUAAAAGAUACCAUUGGGAAGACUUAGCACAAUAAGGGUGUUUGAUAUGGAGUAUGUUUCCUUUUGCAUCCUGUUACUAAAUUUCUACAGUUACAGGAAAGGGGAGAACUAUUUCUAGUUUGUCAAAUGUACCAAGUUUUGGUCUUACAGAAUAAAAACAUUUGACUUUAAGAAUUGAAGAGCUUAAAUGCAGAUUCAGGAAAAAAAUUAAGAUACUGAUGCAUUUCAAAUUUGGAACAUGACUGUAUGAAAAAGGGCAAUGGGCAAACAGAGCAGUAGCUCCCUCUGUUCCUCUGCUUAUGGGGUGUAGUGACUUCCUUGACUGUUUUGGACUGAUUUUAGUUUCUUUGUCAUGUAUUUCAGUAUUUUGCAGACUGAACAAAGGAACAUCAAUCAGAAUUACAACAGAUGCUGUUUCCUGCUGUGUUAUUACAUCCUAAAUACAAAAGUCUUCUUUCUCUCUGUCCCGCCUUCACACAUACACUUAGACACAGAAAAUUUAGAAUAAGUGAGUUUUCAUAACCUGAUGGUUUAAGUUUGUGGACGAGAUUAGAGCCUAAAUUAAAUCCAAAUUAGUAAGAGAAAACAAGAGGCUGUUUUAACCUAAUAUACAGUGUUAUAGAAACUUGUUUUUGAAAGCAGAAACAUGAAUUAUGUAAAUUAUAUCUGUUUAAACUAAAGUUACUCUUGAUUAUGCAAUUUCGAAGUUUCUAGGGAAGUCAUGAAAGUGUCUUACUGCGAACCUAAAAUUUUUUGUAGAGGAAGUGUGCAUGCACAGUACUAUCAUAGGUUUGUUUUCUGAAAGUGUCAGAAAGAGGAUUUCAAAGGACAUUUUUGGCAAUCAAGUUCAAUUUUCUGCUAUUUCUGGCUAUGUUGUUACAAUCAUUUUUAAGAUUUGGACAUCUACAUUAAAAUAAACUUUUUUUCCCAGAGUUCCUCAAUAUUUUCUUCCCAAACUCCUCACUCUAGAUGGAUGGAUUUUAGAGCUUCUCUUAGACGAUAAGUGUUACGAUCUCUUUCUACUGAAAUGGGAUACAGUAUUAGCCACAUCCAAGGUUUCUGUUUACUCUCCUUACUCACAUAUUUAUCUUUACCCUAUUUUGAAAUUGCUUUAAAAUUAAGUUCUGAAUUAUCUUUUUGAAUAUAUGUCUUCUUUGGUUUUUAUUCAAGCUUCAAGCUGCUCCCUGUAAUUAUUGAUCUGUUAGCUAUGUAUUGACUCAAGAAAGGAUAAAACUUAUUCAUUCAAAGAACUCAUGAUGUAAAUUUAUGAGUGAAAUAUUUUCCUUCACUGCACUAUGUAGUUACAUAAAGCUGUCCAUUAAGAAGUGUAUUAAUACAAACAUUUUCAUCAAUCUGUGGAGUUUACCCUGGUUCUUAAUUGAGGCCAUUCACAACAGUAGGCAGUAAUUGAUUUAACAAUAGUCUUGGGAUGACUCAUACACAAAACUAUUUUUGAAAUACACCAUAAAAAUUUUGCCAAAAGGCAAGUAGUUAUUCUCUCCAAAGCUGAUAAUAUUUUGCUGCAUCUGCAGAGACCAGGCAGAUUCUCCCCGAGCACUCUUUUUUCCCCUUCAGCUUCCUACUCAAACUAAGAAUAUAAUUCUUAACUCCUUCAGCACUGAAUUCCCUAUUCCCUGCAACUGUUCUAAUUCAGAUAAUAGCCUUUAUAUUAUUUUUAUGGAGCAAUGUCUUUUGCCAAGUGUCUUUAAAAGUGAUUUUCUGUGAUGCACAUAGAUUGAAUUUUCAGUUCUAUGCUUUCCAUACCUGAAACUGAUCAAAAUAUUUCAGAAGGCACAUAUUGCUAUACUGAAUCUGGUGAUGUCUGUAUGUCAUGAGCCCCUCCUUUUCUGUCUAAAGCUUUGUAGUAAUGUAUAUGAUUGCAGAAUUAUUUGGUCUUGCAAAGCACUGCCUUCUCUACAUCUGAACUCCAUUAUGUUUUAGAAGCCUAAAGACUGUUUCCCAAAAUAUCCAAUCCAGAAACUGCUUGUUGGACAGUCUCAUGAACUGGGAAGAGAGAAUUCAAUCUAUGACAAAACACAGCUGCUUCCUUCAGAAACCAUUGUUUGGAAAAAGAUGUGAUUACUAGGGUGCAUUCACUUGUCACACUGCUUAGAGGUUGGAGCAUCCUGGUGGAAGGCAAUAUACAUAGGUUUAAUCAUCUCUCCCUAGAUAAUUUAUGCCCAUUACAUUUAGUGUGGGAUUAAAACAAAAUAGUAAUGCCAACAAUGUUAUUCACCCACUAUGGAGCCUAUCCAAAACUAAUAUUUCUAGCUGGGUGCUCUGGAUAUCACUGUCAGCCCCAAGCUAAGCUAUAGCUUUAUUGGGAGGCAGUUUGCUUGGGAUAUGAAAGCUGUGCAUUUAAGCUUGUUGGAGUUGAAGGGAAAGAUAUAAUUCUCUGCAACAUUCUACAUUCAAAGGGUAGGUAGCAUCAGACAUGCUUUAAAAAAGUUGAGCCCUUCUUGAUUGUUUAUAUGUUUAGCCUAAGGAAAGAAUUUAGCGCCUGAGUCCAAAUCGCUUAGUGAAGUCUCUUUAGAUUAAAAAAAACCCCAAAAACUGUAAACUCUGUAUCCCUCCAGAUGUCCUCACUGAGAAUGUGGAAUAGCUAAGCCUUGACAAGUUUAGUGAAUUUCUGUAUCAGCAGUAGCAUUGACCUGCAUCUUCAUCCUGCAACAGCUGGUGAUACUUGUACUUCUAACAGCCAGGGAACGAACACUCUUCAGCACUAAGGACAACUGACACAGACUGGCCACAGCCACAUAAUAUUCUUAGCCUUGGGCCUGUGCCUGGGACAGUAUCCCUGGAUCCAAAGAUACAGUAAUGACUUCAUUUUCUUUAUUUUUCAGUUAAUAUGUUUGAAAUAAUGAAAGAAUGUUGAAGCCCAAAAUGUUGUUUGCAAAGCUUGUUACUGAGGCCAUCUGUUACAGAUUCUGAGGUGUCAUAGACAGGACUUGGGGGUGUAUUCAAGGUGGAAGACUUGCUGGAAUAGUGCUGGAGGUGGUAGUAGGUUAGUAGGGGAUAGCAGGGUAGAGAGAGCUCUGGGUGGGGCAAUGGCCCUUGGUUCUUCCAAUGCCAAGUGUUUUCCAGAAGACUGUUAGAGGGUACAGGUGAAAACCAUGCCAGAGAUUAUGUUAAUUAUUAAGCAGUAUGAAUGGUUGAGCUCAGGGUUUGAGCUUGCUAUCUAGUCCCACUUUAUUCAGCAGUGUAGACAUAGACAAAUGAGAUAAGGUUUUACUGCUGGGGUAAUUUUCCCCUAAUCCAAAAAAUGUGCAAACAUGAGUAGAUAAGGAGACGGAAGCAGGUAACAUCCAGCUGGUUUCAAUAACAAGGACUGGGCAAAGGUAGUGCAAAACACUUGGUUUUCCCCUUCAAAGCUGAAGUAAACUAUUCUUUUACCCUCUACUACACAUACAUAUUUACUGGAUUUUGUUAGAAUGGGAAUGCUAGAGACGCCAGAGCAGAAAUGGAAAGUAAAAGAGGAAACCAGAUCACAGAGGUGCAAAGAAAGAAAUAUGAAUGUGUUAUAAACUCAGAAGUACAGAAGUGAGUAUAAACAGGACUUUCAUAAAUACAACAGAUUGCAAUGACACCUUCAUCCCAGGCCCACAAUAGAUCUUUGGAAGGACUAUUGACGUCACUUCUAUGGUAUCACCUUUUUUUCAGGUAUUGGUUUUAAAUAGCAGUUUCAAGUAAUAAAUUAGUCUAGAAGUAUGUCAGUAAAACAGAACAGCUUCCUGAAUUUUAAAAAGGAACUGUUACAUCUUUGGACAACCCUGGUAUCCAAAUCUAUCUCUCUUAAAAAUUUUUAAAGUAGACGUCAUCCUUUGAAACAUUUUGAGACAGUAUGUCUAUAAAUUACAAUAAAAUAAGAAAUAUGCAGAUACAUUCAAAAUAUAAACACAAAAAUAUGGCAGUUUAUUUCAUUCUUUAUAGAUUUUUAUAUUAUCACUUAAUUCUAAAUUAUGAUUUUGUAGCUUUCCAAAUUACUCAAAUUCCUACCUUUAGUAUAAUUUGUCAGUCUUUGGCUGAAAAUUACUCUAGUAAAUUCCUUAAGGUCAACAGAAAUGACAAGAGAUUUUGCAGUUGACCGGUUUCUGAAACAAAUAUAUAAAGAAAAAACUUCUAAUUAUAUUAAUUUCAAUUAAUUGUAAUUAUAUUACAAUUCAGUGGUAAUAGUGUUUUUAAAAUGCAGAACACUGUUGCUGUUUCUUGAAAAAAUCUCUUUUAGUAUAAUUUUCCUCACAACAUUCCAUGCUGUAGGUUUUGUGAUGUAGUUAUUUAAAGGGAUGUUAAAUCACUUUUUAAAAUAUUAUAGGUGAGCAUCAGUUACAUGCUUAUACUAUUUAUUUCAAUAAGACAAAUUAAAUGCUGUGACUCCAUCCUCAACCAAGUGCUUUGACUGCAGUAGAAAUGUGGAUCUGUAAAGGGCUGAAAUGGCAGGUCAUUCUCCACAUAGUGCUUUUACCUUUCAGUUACAGUAUGAUUUUUGAGACUUAGAGUGAGAGGUACUUCACAGAAAAAUGGCCUGAAGUGAAGAAGAGCUGAUCAAGCCUUUUGUCAUUGAAAAGUAAAUCAACAGCCGGCUGGUUUUAGAAUCUCAUGGACAUGGCUUUAUAGUGUCUCUCUGAGAAAUAUUAUUUCUAAUUUUUUGAGGGGAUAAGCAAAUCUGUAAGAAAUGUUUGCUGAGAAGUCAAGAUCCCAAGCUGGGAAGGAGGGAUAAGAUAUAACUGUAACACCUUUGAUUCCUUUGAUGAUCCCCACACUAUAACUCUCUCUUACUUUGGGCAGGAGCACUAGCCUACUAUUUUUUAGUGCAUUGACAGCUAUAUAAAGCUGCAAAGGUACUGAAUCAAGUACAUUAUUUACUAGCAAAGAUGACAGUGGGAAAAGCUUGAAUGACAGCUCUAUGCUCUGCAUUACCAUCUAAAGAUGAAGAUCUGAGAACAAAUCUAUCAUAAGGGCUUUGUACCGUAAGGACUUCUUUGAGAACAAAGCCCAAAGGGCUGCAAUCACGUACUCAUGAGCCUGAGAAAUCCAGGUCUCCUUUAUGAGUAGGAGAAAAGAUGCUGUACUGCUUCUUUCAAUGGCCAGUUACAAGCACAAAUCCCAAUAAACUUCAUUUAAGUACUCUGUGUGUGUACUGUAUUAAAAGGUUUUUCAACUGUCUUGCUUAAAAAGAUCUCUGAUCUGCAUAGAUGAGAUGAUGAUGAUCAGCCUUAGCCACCCAGUCAAGUAAUUUAUUAAGAGCAUGGAUUUUGUCCAGAUUCUGCUUGCUCUGUUUUGUGAGUUGCUGUUCUGGACAGCCUAAAUCCUGAGGAAACUAAAUUAAUUUCCUCACCUGUGUACAGUUCUCCACCUCAUUCACCAAUGACACAUAUUGGCCCUAUACGACUAUAAAAGCAUCUUUUUAUUUUCUUAUAUAAAAGAAAUCUGUCAUGGAACUAAACAAGUUGCCACCAGGUUUGGUUUUUUUGUUGGGCUGAUGUGAUAUUUUCUGAUAGCAAGAGAGACUGUAAUCAGGCAGUCUCUAUCUCUACAGGUGGUAUUAUUUGACAGUGAAACUGGGAAAAACUUUCUGUCCUUGUACCCUAAAAGGCAGGGAACAUGUUCAGAUGAAGUAUAUAAAUAUCAUUGUGAAUGAAGCGAGAAGGCCAAAAUACACUGACAAGGACUGGAAGGGGUUGCUGUAAGCUUUAGUGAUGACGUUUGCUUUGCAUUAGUCCUCUUCAUCAAGGAAAGAAUGCACUUCAUACAACAGGCUGAUUCAGGGUGUUUGGGAGACUCUGAGAAUCCCUCAUCAAGACAAGUGUGAAUCAUUUCUGUGAGAGAGAAAAAUCAGAUUAAUAAAAAGGAAGGGGACAGCUCAGCAUCAGAGAGAUGAUUCUCUGAGAGGCAGAGAGUCAUAUUCAACAUUGUUCUCCAUGUGAUUUAGGGCAGAAAUUAAAACACAGGUUUCAUCCUGCAUUUUAAGAGCAGAAAUCCCAUUUUGAGAAACACCGAUGAGGUGAAAUUGGUAUUAUGUGUAAUUGUGUAAAUAAGCCUAGUUAUGCAGUAGCUGUAGUUUAUUUAAGUAACUGCCAUAUUUCCAAGUUACUGGGAAUGAAUAUCUGAAUGCAGAUAUUUUCCAGGAUGACGUAAAUGUUUCAUGCCUAAUUUUCAAGUAGUUGUGGUAAAAUAAUCAGCACCUGCUGAUAUGGCUGGAUUUUUGUAGCAUUCUUUUGGUAGCUAGUAAAUCAGCUGAACUAUCUAUCACACAUCACAGGUUUUUUCAUAGUUUAUGGUCAUACCCAAGGAAAGCAUUUCAAUGGAUGUCUCUCAGUAAAUAAAGGAAUGGCCAUCUUGACUUCAGAAACGUAAGGCAAAGCUUUUGUUUGUUUCUUCAGUAAGAUAACUACAUUCUACAAAUAGCCUUGAUCUUUCCCCUCAGAGAUAAUAAAUUUACCAUUAUCUUCUAGAAUUUUCCUAUUUUGUAAUUUAAAUUUGAAUUUCAUCUUUAAAGAAAAAAUGUACAGGAUCAGUAACAGAUGAACCCACAUUUAUUGAAUAAAUUUUGAAAAAUAUAGAAACAGUAAUUUAUAUCCAAGAAGUGCCUGAUUUUUCUGAUUAACAAGUUAACAAUGUCUAUUCCCAAGGCUGUAAUUUCUAUCACUAUAAGAUAUAUUAAUGAAAUAAUUAUAUAUUGUAAAAUUGGUGAAUGUAUAGCUUCAUGUUAAGCUCUAUAUUUCAUGGUACAGCUUUUUAUCAGUAUAUUUUGUAAUAUGGUAAUGGAGCUUGGUAAUCAUAAAAAGACCAUUAUGCCAGAUGGGUAAAUAAAUAAGUAAACAAAUAAGCAAAACAAAAAAACCCAACCAGCACAACAAAAAACCCCAGCAAACCAAGGGCAGGUACUUGGAUAGAAACAUCUAUGAAAUAAAUGUUUACAUAGUAUUGAAUUUGAAUAAAAAAUUCAAAACUUUUUUUUUGUGAAGUAUUUCCACACAAUAAAAACUCGCAUGUGUAGGUGAAUGAAUUCUAAAAACUGCCAAUGAAAUUCAACACUGAUAAUAGCACAGAAAUGCACAUAGAAAGAACAAUCUUAGCUGUAGAUACAAUCACAUGCAUCAGUGUAACUGUUUCCACAUGAAAAGAGAUCUUGGGAGGUUUUUUGCGGUCAGUUCCCUGGCAAUCUGAGUUUGAUACAGAGCAGAGCAGGGAACAUAAAUAUCCUAAUGUGUAAACGUGGAAUGUGCAAAUAAUAAAUAUUUUAUUAAUUUCUGAAAAUACAAACACAUAGAAACCUCCAAAACUGUAAAAAGCAUGGAGAAGGGUGUAUGGCAUAAUAAGAGGUAAAAACCUGCUUAGGACAAGUGGAAAAUAAAUUUAAGAUUUUUUGUGUUUCAAAUUCUGAUUGCUUUCACUUCAGAUAUAUAAUUUCCAGAGCAUGUGUUUGGCAUGUUUUUAUCAAAAAGACAAAUAAUUUAGUAUAUUCCAGGAUGCUCUUUAGGAUUGAUGGUUUUUCUUCUAAAUUAAGUGCUUGAAAAUUAGACACUAAAUUUAGUCUUAGCUAUCUCCCUUAUAGAUGCUACAGAAAAGUUUCAGCUCACCUUAACAUAGUGAUCCAAAAUUGCUCCAAUGAGUUGCCCUUGAGGUGUCUAGUUUCAUCCAUCAAUUCUAAAUAUGGCUUAGAGUGUCUAACUCAGCUACAGUAACGUGCUGCUGUUAUUUCUGCCAUACGUAUUUCUGCCACCUCUUUGGUCUACAACACUGUCCUGAAGAAAUCCUUUAUCGUGAUGGAAGGUUGAUCAGCUUUCACUUCACUUCUGAGAUACCUAACUUGUCACAGACUGUUGGCCAUUAUUUUAUCAUACAAACCUUUAACUGAGGACAAAUCAACUAGUUAGCAGUAUAUAAAAGAAAAGUCAAAAAGAGCCCCAAAACAAUCAGUUGGGCAUGCAAAACUACAUCUAGUGCUAGCACUGGCAAGGAAUGAGGAGAGUUUGCAUAUUGUAUACACUGCUUACCUCUCUGCAAUGUAUGCUUAUUUCAAAGCUUCUACUGUUUCAAGAGAUGUUAGUAAUUACAGAAGAAAACAAAUUUUUGAUGGAGUAUGAUGAUUUGAAUGGAAUGGGAACACAUGAAAUAUUAAUAAUAACUUGCAGGUCAUGAGUUAGUGAAAUACUUUUUCAGUUUUCUUGCAAACCAUCAUGGUUUCCUACCCUUGAAAAAAUCAGAGUGGUUAAAUCUCACUGCAAAGAAUUGUUCUUGAAGAUUGUAAUUAAGGUUCAAAUCCAAUUGUAGCCAAAAUAUUGCAUUGUAUAUGUGCAUAGCAUUUUUCUGUACGGUUUUAUCAGUUAAGGCUGUAGUAUUUCCAGUUUUAUUGUUACCUGAGAAAUCCAUUUCCAGCAUAUUUUGUUCAUGACACUGUUCACCCAUUGUAAGCACAUAAGAUUUGUCCUUCAGACACUGCAUAACCUUCCUGUCAGUUUUUGGGAUGAUUUAAUAAAAUUGUUGUUGACUCUAGCAUGCUUAAUGGUCUGGAACAUUUUUGUAUUAACAAUUUGCAUAUUCCUAAUGAAAACACUGAGGUAUUUCACUGUCAGCUGUUUGCCAGUCAUAAAUUUCACCUUGCAACAUUUGGACUGAAAAGCAUUUUUUUCUCCAUGUGCCUUUAUUACAUGUUUUUGCUUCUUGCUAUUCUUUGCUUAGCGUUGAAGCUGAUGUGAAAUGAAGUGUAUAAAUAUGCCUUUUCUUGUAUAUUUUUGCACAAGACAGUAAGGUGGAAAAUCUGAACUUUCUAUGUUUAGCAGGACAAGUCCAACUUAAAAAUGCAGGAGUUUGAUGUGGUUCAGUGAAAGCACAGUCAUAUAUUAGAGGAAAAUAAAGGUAGCAGGACUAAGUGCGGAUUUAGAUACAGAAGACUAUUCAGUAGAAUUAAUGAACAUUACCCUUUUAUUCUUAAGCAAUGAAUGUAAGAGUUAUUUUAUUCCAGGGCAUUAUUAUUAUCUGUAUCCAGCAUGAACUGUGGAAAAUGUACAGUGAUUUGCAUUGCAUAAAAGAGAAGUUAUGUUUGGGUUAGAAUUAGAAGUAUGAAAUAUGUAGUAAUUUUACUCUUGGAGUGUCCCUGUUGAUAUGGCAAGUAUUAUAUUUGGUUUUUAUUAAGUAGGAGAUUAUCUUUCAUCUUAACAAAUGUCUUGCACUUUUACUUUCUAAUGAGACAAAAUGCCUUCCACAGCAAAUUUGGUUGUAAGUUUUGUCAGUAGAAGUUUGCCCUAUUUAACAUUGUUCUUUUCAGAACUUCUCUGUCUUGAGGUCAUUACAGAAUGCUAUUGUUUAGGAGGUUUUUUUUGUGAAAUUAUUAGCACAAUGUCUCUACAUAGGACAUCAACACUGGAGUCAGAGAAAAUGAAAAAAAGAAAUAAAAAUGCUUUUCUCUUCCAAGAAGUUUGUGAUCUGUCAUUAAUUCAGAAUUAAACUUUUGGGCACUCAGCAAAACAGAAGAUCCUUCUGAUGAAAAAGUUUAUUGCCAAGUUCAAAUCAAUCAAAAUAAUUCAAAAUAACAUACAUUCCAGAUUUUUCCUUAUGAAAAUACUUUUCUUUUCCAAGAUUGCUCCAUCUCUACAACAUAAUGAAAUACACGUGCUUCACAAGAAUGGCAACGAACAAACGCUGGUUCAUAGAUGUUCUCUUCUCCUUCCAAGGAAAAGUACAGGCAAGGGAGGAGCAUAAUUUGCAAUGACUCUUUUCAGGAGGGAGUUUACAGCUCUAGUCUUGAGUUAAACAGCCAGUUAAACAGCUGAAAGACAUGCAGUCCAGAGCUCUGCCUGUUGUCUUGGGGUGUAGGGGUGUGUGGGAGGGUGUGUGUGUGGGGAAGGAUGGUGGGAGUGUGUGUGUGUUCCUGCUACAAAAGAAAGGUGCCUGCUUUAAAAACCUUUGCUUCUGUCACAGAUUCCUAAAUCAGACACACAGGGAGUUUCAAUAGGACAUAAUCGCUGUCUUUGAAAUAUUCAGGUCCCUAGCUUUUGACAAACUACAAUAUCAAUUCAACAAUUUUUCCUCUGUUUUUCUGAAAAUUAUUAUAACCAAAAUUGAAAGUGAAAAAUGAGUCUGUGACAAAUAAGGUCAGAUUUUGCUCCUAAAUAUAAUUUUCUCUUAGCAUGCUGGUAUUACUGUUAUGUCUAUUAUGACAUUUCUAUGAAUAAAUAGUUAAUAUUAUAAGAAGAUCUAUUUCUAUUCCAAGUGAUGCUUUUCCAUUUUUUCCCUAGAAAUAUUCAACCAGAAUGUGAUUUACAAGUAUUACCUAGUUUUUAUGUUGCAGGGUCUUUCUUUCUGUAAGAUACUUACAUACACAAAUUCAUAAUAUAUAAGCGUACAUAUAUUCAAAUAUACUUUUCUACAGUUUUGAAUCUGCCAAUUUGAAUCAUGAAAUCAUAUAACUGCUGCAAAUAGAGCAAGCAAUUUUUGUUGCAUCAAAAGACUCAAUGUACAAACUUAUGAUGAUUAUAAGAACAUUUCUUUACAGUGAAAAUAUUACUAUUUCAAAUAUUAAGUUACAGUGACAAGGUCCCCAUUGCAAUGUGAUUUUAUAUACUUCUUCAAUCUUUCAUAAUCCCUCCUUUCUGUGACAAGGCUGUCAAAGAAAUGCAUGCAGUAUGUUUUUAGGUAACCCUGGAAUCAUUAUAUGUAGAGCUCAGAAGCAGACCAAAGGAGAGACACAGAAGUAAAAUAGAAAGGAUAUCCUUAUGUUCCUUCCACACAUGAAACUCUAGGAAGCAUAGGCUUGAAAGAAAAUCAAGCUGCAGGGAUUAGACAUCAAUGUAAUUUUAGAGCAGUUACUGCAGAUGAACAGAAUUUCUGGAAACCAAGACAGGCAACCACUUUAAACAUGCAGGUAUAGUCUCAGAGGAUAAACUGUGCCUCAUAGAAUAUUUAGCCUUUUGCCAUCAUGAAAGUCGUUACCCUGUUUUCCAGUUCUGGAUGGUGAAUGCCAUAUUCUCAUAGAGAUUACAUGGAAUUGCAAAAUUUCUAAGCAACUGGGUUUUGUGUCUACCUGCUCUUAUAGAGAAAUGUGUACAUUCCUCUAAAAAGGUUUGGUGGCAUUUUCUUUCACAGGAAAGCAUUGCAAUUGACAGGAUAAACAUUACAUGUUUACACAGUUGAAUAAAUAUUUUACAGGGAAAAUAUUAAAUCAGUUUUCCAUUUAGAUGGUCUGGGACAGUUGGAAGACAUUUACAUUUGUAGCAUCCUCUCUCUUAGUGAGUGGAAGGGAUUGUAAUAGUGUAAAAUUACUGCUAAUAAAGCUAAAGUAUUCUUUGACAGAACUCCAUAUACUGUAUUAGGAGUGUAAGUACAGAGGAAAAAAGUGGCUCCAGAGAAACCUGUUUUAGACAAUGAAGUUUUCUUUUGUGGGCUUUUUUUCUGUUUUGUAGUGGGUUAUUUGUUGGGAUUUUUUUCCCUCACGGAAAUUCCUUAGCAAUAGAAAGAGUAACUCUGAUGCUGAUGACGAUUUCUACACUGGCAACAGACAAUAUAGUGGUGUCAGAGUGUCUGUUUCCAUCAUGACAUUCCCAGGGGACCAGUAUGAAACUAACCUAGUUAGCAGUCACAGCCAGUGAUAUCAGACUUCCCUAAAAUUCUCUUUUCAACAAAACCAGCCUCAUCUGUUGGCAAUAUCACUGGGUUCCUUAGGCGAUAUGGAAGCCAAAGGCAUUGGGAAUUUUUUUAAAUAAUUUUUAUCAAAAUACUGUUAUUGUUGUUAUUGUUAUCUCUCAUACGUGAAGACUAGGCCAUCUUUCAAGUAGUAUUCUAUUACAUCUCGCAUUCUAUUAAUUUUUAUGAUAAUAAUUUAAAAUUAAGAAUUAUAUCAAGAGUUUGACAUAGAAUGAAUUUGCUAAUUCGUUUUUUCUUGUUCUUAAUUUCUGUCCUCAGGCAAAAGUAAAUAAUACAGUUCAACACUGAGUUUCCCACUGGAUUAUUGCAUUAUACUUUUAAAAUAUAAGAAAGAUCUUAGGGUUCAGAAAGGCUCCACAAAACUUUUCUAUGUAGACAUCAUAGUGUAACAUAUUUUGAUAUAUCUUCUUAUUUAAAUUCCAGUCUGGGUAACUGGAUUCAGAUUCAGAAUAACAAAUUCCUCUGUGUUUCAACUGAGAAUUUCAAGGUUGUCUGUGAGGUGAAGUGUGAGUCUCCUGUCGACAGCACUGGAGACUACAGGGACUUCAUUAGAUACAGUAUCUGUAGAAAAACAGGCAGGUUUAUAGAUGGUAUCUAGAGGAACGGUACAACAGGGAAAGAUUUGAGUUAUGCAAUGAUCAAGGCCAUCAGGAUUAGCAGGAUAACAGGGUGCAAAGAGAAAUGCAGUUUGAUGGGUUUUUUCUCAACUGAAGAAUUCUUUCAAGAAACUCAAAGUAUUGCAAUAAGUCAUUCAUUAAUCAACACCUACAAUCAACAGCCUUAUCUGAGGAAAGGGAGCAAAUCAGAAAACAAAACUGUCCAAAAUCUGGACAUCAUAGUAAUUGAAGGAAGUGACCAAUGGUUUUGAUCUUUUGAACAUUGUGCUUUCAAUUUAAGUAUGUUCCUUGAUCCUGGGUGGUAGAACUCGGAUUAAUAGUAAUGAAAUAGUGAUGGCAUCUCUGCCAUUAUAAUCCAACUUUAUAAAUUGAGGGGAAAUGUUGUUAAAGUUUAUCACUUGGCAGUUUCUAAUUCAUAGUUGAAUAUUCCGCCUAAAAAUAAUCUGGGAGAUGAAAAAGCUAAACUUGCAAGCUUUUGAAUUGCAUCUAAAAGCAUUACAUCAUGUUGCUUGGAGCUUCUCACAUAGAGUGAGAUUUCGGUGUUAAACAGGGAAAAGUGUGAUUAAUUUCCAGAAACAGUGUGAAAGUUGUUGCAAUGGUCAGUUUGUGUGAGCACAGUUUGCAUCAUUCACUAACUAUGCCUUGGUCCAAGUUGAAUUGCAUAUGUAUGAAUUUUGGAUUAAUUUUGCUAUAAGGUUUUGAAAACUAAUCUCUUGUUUACUUGAUAAUACAGUUGAAAUAAAAAAGAUUCAAAGCAUCUUCAACAUAGUGCAAGAGGCUAGACUGACAAGAUAGGAAUGAAAGAGAGACUGGCCAAAGGUUGCGUGUGGAUUUGAGUGACAAGAGUAAUAGAAGUUUCAGGGUUUUGUCAGGUCAGCACCUUUAGCAGCAUGAAGCUUACUUAUCCCUUCAGUCUUGCACUACCUGCAGCUUGUUAAUCACUUGCAGUUCCUGUACAUCAAUAUUUUUCAUCUCUAUGAAAAAACCCAAAACAUGGUGGAAAAAUAGAAGCAUUGUGAAUAAAGCAAGGAUAUUUGCCAAGCUUAUUUUUUAAUUUUUCCCUGGGUCCUUUUCACAGUUGAAAGACUAGAGGCAUAAUUCAUCUGAUAUUUUACGAGAAACUCAAUAUAAUACUUUUUUUUUUAUUACUUUUUAUUUUUCUGUUUUUUACAUCUAAAUGUGGUCAGACAUGACUGACAACCCAUUUUCUAGAACCACUGGAAAUAUGCCAUAGAGCAUCCAUAAAGAUGCUUUCUCCCCUGAAAACACUUUGAUAGAUUUAUGUGCAUGAUACAAUAUCAUGCAAGAAUAUCCAAAGGUGUUUUGAGAGAUCUAGUUUGGUUACUUGCUUAUCUGAGCAUUGUUUAACCCAUACUAACACAUCUUAUUACUUAAAUCCUUGGACUUUCUCCUGCUUUGCGUGUCAGUGGAUCAGCUGUCAAAGUGCAAGGUUUCACAUGUUAUAUUCAGUUGUAUUUUGACCAAAAAAUUCAGAUGGGGACAUUGUAGCACUGAAGUCCACAAUUUAGGAAAAUAUUGUUUUACAAAGGUCUCGGGUAGUAUUUUUCUGGUUAUUUUUGCAGAUUUUGGCUUAUGCAAAAAAUGUGCUUGCAAUACCUUAAAAAUUAGAAGCUGACCCCUGAAACAAACUGAUAAGAGCUGAUUCGGAGACAGAUGAUCUAGAUGACAAGAUUGCAAAAUAUUUCCAAGGGUUCUGCUCGAAUGUUGGUAUCAGAGACCCCUUGACUUCAAGCAAAAAGAACAUUCCACUAAUGGGAUCUUCUCUCUUGGACAAACUGUGAAAUCCCAUGGUUUUUCCAUCUUAUAUUCUUAGUGCAAAAGAUAGGUUGCUAUUAUCUGGGAAUUUGGAUAGACUUUGUGUAUUGUAAGUUAAUCCUUUUUGAUAUUUUUCCUGAAAAUGUUAAUUAAUGUCUGUAUAAUCUAUGCCACAGGAAUAGAGGUGAUUCCUGUCACACAGCCCUUCUGGUACUAUCCAAAUUUCCCAUUACUGUACAUCUGUAUCUUUUAAGUACGCAGAUGCAAUAAUAAGAUGAGCAUAAAUAAUUAUGAAAUUUAUCAAUAAUAGUAUUGGGUGAUGACUAGAAAUCUGAAAUCUACUCACAGUUCUGCUCAUAAGUUUUCACAGCUCUCUGCCCCAUCUUCCUCUCUUCAUAAAAAAACAACAAUCUGUUUCCAUUGUAAAUUUGUGGUGAGGUUUCCUAAUGGAAAUAUUUGUAUGAAUGAUGGAAAGAAUGGCAAGAGUUACCUAACCACAUUUUUGUUGCAAAUGCAUUUAUAUGCAGGUGCAACUUCAGUUAUUAUUAAAUAGGUGUUAUGUUUGUCUUUUAAAAGGACACUCAAUUCAAUGUAGACUUUCUCUGACAAAAGAAAGUGUUUCAUUAAAUCUGAGUUAAAGUUGCCCUUGUAUUUGUGCCUUACCUCAGAAUUAGGGUCAGUGAAAUGUAACAUUUUAAAAUCAGAAAAUUCUGAAUUGUAGGACACGGAGUUGUUAAUCUGCCACCUUUGAGCAACGUCUUUAAAAGUCCGCAAUUAUACAGAUUCACACCUGGUCUUAGCCACCAAAGUCAUAUUUGAGAGCAAACAAAAUGAUAUCUAACUCUUUUUUUACCUUUUCAAAGGUAAAUGUGUGGCUAAAUGAACUAGUUCAAUAUAUCCCCAAGAGCUGUAACAGUGGGUUACAAAUACGAAGUAACCCCAAAUAGGCAAUGUUCUACAAUCCCUUUAUAUAUCUGCAUAAAUUAAGUUGAUUUUUCUGCAGGAUUUUCACUCUCACAGCACUGAAAGAUCAGUGUCAAGAGAUGGCUUGAAUUUUUUUUUCACUGAUGUUGGAUUAAGACACACAGAAAUAUCUCUUUCCUUGAAUAAAGCCAGUACAGGCUCAGACCCAGAUCUCCUUACACUGCCAAGUUUCUCCAACUAAUCCCUUCACCAUUCAAUACCACUGCACUUAGCAUAGUGAAUCCAGCUGAAAUUCAUGUGGAUUUUUGCCAGCAAGGGAGGAACAGUACAGUCAAUAUUUCACUCUCAUAUUUUCACAUUCUUUUUCUAGAUAUUCACAAGUUUAAGUUACAUAUGCAUCAACUCCUUGUUUCCUGGCUUUCAGAUAUCUGAAAGUCACUGGAUUAAACAUUCUGGAAAGAAACAUGACUGUACUGAUAUUUUAGAUCCUGGUAAAAGACAUUUUUGUCAGACAUUUGUUAUGUAGCACACGCUUCAGAUCCAAACAAACACGAUUUUACUGCAUGCCAAGGUAAGUUGCCAAGAAAUGUUUUACACAGAGUGUGGAGAAACAGGGAGGGGGAUUAUGUAGCUGUUAGGAGAUGCUGUAAAUUCUUGAGGUCAUGAAAAAGUUUGUGGAAUAGAGCAAAGUAAAAAGAAUGCGCAGGAUUCAGUAAGAAAAAUAAGGUAAGGUCAGAAGACGUUUUCUUGAUUUAAAGCCCUGGAGUUGGGAUCUGAAGUAGAUGACAGACAAAAAGGUUUUUCUGUAGUGCUUGCUGCUGGCAGUGAUUAUAGGUGUCCUGGGACUAAGCAGUAGGAAACAGAGACAUUGUGAAUACCAAAGGGAACAAGAUCAAGAAUAGAAUCUGCAAGAAUUUCAGCAGACAGUUUAGCCCAAAAGUAAAAUAUAGUUUAAUGGAUUCCUUUUGAACUGGGGGAUGUCUGUGGCAUUGUUUUGUAUAGGAAAAGUGACUAGCUUUGUUCUGUGUUUGUCCUACAAGUCUGGGACUCUGGAGAGAAAAAUAUUGCCAAACCACCAGUCACCCAGAAAAUAUGAAAAGAGACUAGGAUAACUCAUCAAGGAUCCAGUAGGGCCUGUGGAAGCAAAACCAGAAUAAAUGUUAGAGAAAAUGCAUCAUUCAUCUCUGGAGCAGCUACACUCAUGCAAUGACAUUGUACAAGAGAUGAUUACUGAUGAGGUGAUAAAAAGCAGUAGGGAGCCAUGAA
This is an RNA transcript of Corvus hawaiiensis (hawaiian crow), 21778 nucleotides long. It is a transcript of the gene named proline-rich receptor-like protein kinase PERK10, with no coding region annotated. The transcript is spliced from 5 exons. The record is from RefSeq and is a predicted model, not a curated record. Lineage: Eukaryota; Metazoa; Chordata; Aves; Passeriformes; Corvidae.